Long non-coding RNA from Herpailurus yagouaroundi (jaguarundi), 697 nucleotides. RefSeq lists it as uncharacterized. NCBI's taxonomy places the organism in Eukaryota, Metazoa, Chordata, Mammalia, Carnivora, Felidae. The transcript is spliced from 3 exons. The record is from RefSeq and is a predicted model, not a curated record.
UGCAGAUCACCGCCUUCCCAGACCUUCUAAUCGAAGCUGGGCCAGCCCUGUUUCCAGGCAGCGGGGGGAGCCAGCGGCAGGCAUAUCUCAACACUCCUCAACCCUCCUCUGGGCCAGCCUGGACGGCUGGUGUCAUCGUCUGCAUUCCCCGGGGUGUUCGUCGGGGUGACACUGAACGCUCAAGGUCAGGGUCUGGCCUGCCUCCCGUACUCAGCACUGAGGCCCCCCCCACCCGUGGGUUUGAUUUUGACGAGACGAGGCGGCAAAUGGGAAAACAUCGCGCUCUUCCUCAGGACCUUCUCAGGUUCUUCAGUAACAAGAAACCUGAACCUUUGAAUCCUCAAGGCCUUCAACUCUCCCUGAGAAAGUCUGCUGAAGAAAGCAUCUAGUCCAGCCUCCAACCGAUGAAUGAGACCCCUCUGCCGAAUCCAAGCAACGCUCUAAUCUCCUGCUGUCAAACAAGGGACGGGGCCACGGGGGGUGGGAAGCACAUGAGCAGAGAACGACCUGGGUUCAAGCCCUGAUUCUGCCACAUAUUCCUGCUGGUCCCUACAUAAGUCGCUUAAGAUGUCUCAACCUCAAUUUCCUCAUCUCUCCCCUUCAACUGAGAUGUUGUUUGUUCAACCCAGAAAAAAGGUAGGUGAAGUGUCUGACAUCCGUCAUAGUAAACGCUCAGCAAAGUCUAACAUUUAAAUGA